CAUGCAAGUCGAACGGAAAGGCCCUUUCGGGGGUGCUCGAGUGGCGAACGGGUGAGUAACACGUGGGUGAUCUGCCCUGCACUUUGGGAUAAGCCUGGGAAACUGGGUCUAAUACCGAAUAGGAUCAUGGCCUUCAUGGGUUGUGGUGGAAAGCUUUUGCGGUGUGGGAUGGGCCCGCGGCCUAUCAGCUUGUUGGUGGGGUAAUGGCCUACCAAGGCGACGACGGGUAGCCGGCCUGAGAGGGUGUCCGGCCACACUGGGACUGAGAUACGGCCCAGACUCCUACGGGAGGCAGCAGUGGGGAAUAUUGCACAAUGGGCGCAAGCCUGAUGCAGCGACGCCGCGUGAGGGAUGACGGCCUUCGGGUUGUAAACCUCUUUCAGCACCGACGAAGCGCAAGUGACGGUAGAUGCAGAAGAAGCACCGGCCAACUACGUGCCAGCAGCCGCGGUAAUACGUAGGGUGCGAGCGUUGUCCGGAAUUACUGGGCGUAAAGAGCUCGUAGGUGGUUUGUCGCGUUGUUCGUGAAAACUCACA
This 537-nucleotide ribosomal RNA is filed under the name uncultured Mycobacterium sp. RNAcentral's name for it is "bacterial SSU rRNA". It matches the Rfam family "Bacterial small subunit ribosomal RNA", at positions 54 to 606 of the family's 1533-position model. The record is from RNAcentral. Lineage: Bacteria; Bacillati; Actinomycetota; Actinomycetes; Mycobacteriales; Mycobacteriaceae.